Molecule: ribosomal RNA, 253 nt
Filed under: uncultured bacterium
Lineage: Bacteria
Description: partial 16S ribosomal RNA
Rfam family: Bacterial small subunit ribosomal RNA
Source: RNAcentral
UACAGAGGGUGCGAGCGUUAAUCGGAAUUACUGGGCGUAAAGGGCGCGUAGGUGGUUUAUCAAGUUGUCUGUGAAAUACCCGGGCUUAACCUGGGAAGGUCAGACAAAACUGAAAGACUAGAGUAGGACAGAGGGAAGUGGAAUUUCCGGUGUAGCAGUGAAAUGCGUAGAUAUCGGAAAGAACACCAGUGGCGAAGGCGGCUUUCUGGGUCCAUACUGACACUGAGGCGCGAAAGCGUGGGGAGCAAACAGG